Molecule: ribosomal RNA, 468 nt
Filed under: uncultured bacterium
Lineage: Bacteria
Description: partial 16S ribosomal RNA
Rfam family: Bacterial small subunit ribosomal RNA
Source: RNAcentral
GACGAACGCUGGCGGCGUGCUUAACACAUGCAAGUCGAACGGAAAGGCCCUGCUUUUGUGGGGUGCUCGAGUGGCGAACGGGUGAGUAACACGUGAGUAACCUGCCCUUGACUUUGGGAUAACUUCAGGAAACUGGGGCUAAUACCAGAUAGGAGCUCCUGCUGCAUGGUGGGGGUUGGAAAGUUUCGGCGGUUGGGGAUGGACUCGCGGCUUAUCAGCUUGUUGGUGGGGUAGUGGCUUACCAAGGCUUUGACGGGUAGCCGGCCUGAGAGGGUGACCGGCCACAUUGGGACUGAGAUACGGCCCAGACUCCUGCGGGAGGCAGCAGUGGGGAAUAUUGCACAAUGGGCGGAAGCCUGAUGCAGCAACGCCGCGUGCGGGAUGACGGCCUUCGGGUUGUAAACCGCUUUCGCCUGUGACGAAGCGUGAGUGACGGUAAUGGGUAAAGAAGCACCGGCUAACUACGUG